GGAGGAGGGAAGGAGGGAGAGAGAGAGAGGGGAAGGGAGCGGGGCCCAGGAGGAGGGAAGGAGGGAGAGAGAGAGAGAGAAUGGGGCGGGGGCCCAGGAGGAGGGUAGGAGAGUAUGGGGGCCCAGGAGGAGGGAAGGAGGGAGAGAGAGAGAGAGAGAGAGAGAGAGAGAGGAGCGGGGGCCAGGAGGAGGGAAGGAGGGAGAGAGAGAGAGAGAGAGAGAAGAAUGGGGUGGGGGCCAGGAGGAGGGAAGGAGGGAGAGAGAGAGAGAGAGAGAGAGAGAGAGAGGAGCGGGGGGGGACCAGGAGGAUGGAAGGAGGGAGAGAGAGAGAGAGAGAGAAGGGAGCGGGGGCCCAGGAGGAGGGAAGGAGGGAGAGAGAGAGAGAGAAGGGAGUGGGGGCCAGGAGGAGGGAAGGAGGGAGAGAGAGAGAGAAGGGAGCGGGGGCCAGGAGGAGGGAAGGAGGGAGAGAGAGAGAGAAGGGGAGGAGAGAGGAGGGAGAGAGAAGGGAGCGGGGGCCAGGAGGAGGGAAGGAGGGAGAGAGAGAGAGAGAGAGAGAGAAGGGAGCGGGGGCCCAGGAGGAGGGAAGGAGGGAAGGAGGGAGAGAGGGAGA
Oncorhynchus tshawytscha (Chinook salmon) is the source of this 610-nucleotide long non-coding RNA. NCBI's taxonomy places the organism in Eukaryota, Metazoa, Chordata, Actinopteri, Salmoniformes, Salmonidae. The record is from Ensembl.